This 621-nucleotide ribosomal RNA is filed under the name Gymnomuraena zebra (zebra moray). RNAcentral's name for it is "partial 16S ribosomal RNA subunit". It matches the Rfam family "Bacterial large subunit ribosomal RNA", at positions 1796 to 2619 of the family's 2925-position model. Lineage: Eukaryota; Metazoa; Chordata; Actinopteri; Anguilliformes; Muraenidae. The record is from RNAcentral.
UCGCCUGUUUAUCAAAAACAUCGCCUCUUGCAAACUAUGAAGUAUAAGAGGUCCCGCCUGCCCUGUGACAGCAAUGUUUAACGGCCGCGGUAUUUUAACCGCGCGAAGGUAGCGUAAUCACUUGUCUUUUAAAUGGAGACCUGUAUGAAUGGCAUAACGAGGGUUUAACUGUCUCCUCCCCCCAAUCAAUGAAAUUGAUCUGCUCGUGCAGAAGCGAGCAUGAGAACAUAAGACGAGAAGACCCUAUGGAGCUUUAGGCAAAUGACCAAGCACACAUAACCCCUUACCAAACUAAGGAGGAAAAUAAAACGCCAUUGGACAAAAUGCCUUCGGUUGGGGCGACCAUGGAGGAAAAAAAAGCCUCCGGGUGGAACGGGAAAACCCCUAAACUAAGAGAAACAACUCUAAAUAACAGAAAUUCUGACCAAACGUGACCCAGGACAAACCUGAUCAACGAACCAAGUUACCCUAGGGAUAACAGCGCAAUCCCCUCCCAGAGUCCAUAUCGACGAGGGGGCUUACGACCUCGAUGUUGGAUCAGGACAUCCUAAUGGUGCAGCCGCUAUUAAGGGUUCGUUUGUUCAACGAUUAACAGUCCUACGUGAUCUGAGUUCAGACCGG